RNAcentral lists this ribosomal RNA (497 nucleotides) under uncultured bacterium. RNAcentral describes it as "SSU rRNA". It matches the Rfam family "Bacterial small subunit ribosomal RNA", at positions 26 to 518 of the family's 1533-position model. The record is from RNAcentral.
AGAUUGAACGCUGGCGGCGUGCCUAACACAUGCAAGUCGAUCGGUAACGCGGGGGCAACCCUGGCGACGAGAGGCGGACGGGUGAGCAACGCUUGGGAAUCUGCCCAUCAGCGGGGGACAACCCGGGGAAACCCGGGCUAAUACCGCAUACGCUCUACGGAGGAAAGCCGGGGGACCGCAAGGCCUGGCACUGAUGGAUGAGCCCAAGUCGGAUUAGCUAGUUGGCGGGGUAACGGCCCACCAAGGCGACGAUCCGUAGCUGGUCUGAGAGGACGAUCAGCCACACCGGAACUGAGACACGGUCCGGACUCCUACGGGAGGCAGCAGUGGGGAAUAUUGGACAAUGGGGGAAACCCUGAUCCAGCGACGCCGCGUGGGUGAAGAAGGCCUGCGGGUUGUAAAGCCCUUUCGGCAGGGACGAAAGCUUCCGACCUAACACGUCGGGAGGUUGACUUAACCUACAAAGAAGCACCGGCUAACUCUGUGCCAGCAGCCGC